Molecule: transfer RNA, 66 nt
Filed under: Scolytinae sp. BMNH 1039996
Lineage: Eukaryota; Metazoa; Arthropoda; Insecta; Coleoptera; Curculionidae
Description: tRNA-Val
Source: RNAcentral
CAAAUUAAAGCUUAAAUUAAGUUUUUUAGUUACAUUAAAAGGAUUAUCUAUAUUGAUAUAAUUUGA